UCCCACCCUGCAACUGAAAAGUGACCAAGAUUGAUCGAAUAGAGAUGCUAUCGUUUCACUCAUGUGGAUGUUGCCGCGUUUCAACAUCCACUGCGUUCCAUUUCCAGUUUCGUACCUUACCUUCUUCUUCACUCUUUUUCUAUGCUACAAGCUAUAAAUUUCGUUCUACCACAGCGAGCGCUGGUUCUGGUUUCACCGGAGGCUCAGACUCCGAUGGAGAUAGAAAAUUGAACUUCUCCGGUGUGCGGUUGGAGGAGGCUGUCGAUAGCGCAAUAGGAUCUGCAAAACUAAGACUGGAUAGUUGGAUCUCUUCCCGCAUCAACGGCAUUAGUAGAGCACGCGUUCAAUCAAGUAUCAAAUCGGGACUCGUUCAUGUUAAUGGUCGUGUCGUUGAUAAGGCUUCUUUCAACGUCAAAGCUGGGGAUCAGAUCAAAUGCACAAUCGCGGAGUUGCAGAAAUUGAGGGCUGUGCCAGAAAAUAUACCUUUGGAUAUAGUUUAUGAAGAUGAGCAUGUUCUAGUCAUAAAUAAACCUGCACACAUGGUUGUGCAUCCAGCUCCUGGAAAUACAUCGGGGACGCUUGUCAAUGGCAUUCUUCACCAUUUCAAUCUUCCAAAUGUUGAAUUUUCUAAAGACGAAUCUCUUUCAGAUACAGAAGAUUCUGAUGACGAGGUUAAUAGCUAUGGCUCCAUGACAAGUUCUUAUGAAGGAUCACAUUCUAUAUUGUCUAUGUCAUCAAUUCGCCCAGGGAUUGUACACAGAUUGGACAAAGGCACAAGUGGGUUACUUGUUGUUGCAAAGGAUGAGCAUUCACAUAUGAAAUUAUCCGAGCAAUUUAAGCAACGCACCAUCAAGAGGGUUUAUGUUAGUCUCACUGCUGGGGUACCCACUCCGGUUUCUGGGCGAGUUGAGGUUCCAGUUGGCCGUGAUCUUAAUAACCGGUUGCGUAUGACUGCUGUAGCUGGACCAGCCAAUUCUAGAAAUGCCCGUCAUGCUGCUAGUAGGUACAGAGUAAUUGAGAUACUUGCUGGGGGAAGUUGUUCAUUGGUUGAGUGGAAGUUGGAAACUGGACGCACUCAUCAGAUCCGUGCUCAUGCUAAGUAUUUGGGAGUUCCUUUACUCGGUGAUGAGGUGUAUGGAGGGACAAAAAGCAUGGUCUUGUCACUACUAAGGCCCCGAACUCCCAUCAGUUUGCAUGGAAAAAUUGUACAAAUGGUUUCUAGGCUAGAUAGGCCUUGCCUUCAUGCUUUGACACUCGGCAUCCCUAUACAGGGGAGCAGGUGCACUUUUCAUGUGAACCCCCUGUAGACUUCGAUGAGAUUUUGAGCCAGCUUCGUAGAAUUGGUAGUGAGAAUGUUUCUUUCUCAAAGCGUUCAAAUUUUUGACGAGGGCACUGCAUUCAUAUUUUCAUUCUACAACUAUCACUGUUAAUAUCGUAUCGUCGUGAGAGAGCUAUACCAAUUUUGGAAUCAUUGAAGAUUUGCAGUUAUUUUUAAGGUAAGAAGAGGUUGUGUGGUUACCCAAGUUAUAUUAUUUUAAAUAAUAAGUUUAUCUUUAUUUAGUAAAGGAUAAAAAACCAUACAAUCC
Molecule: RNA transcript, 1586 nt
Organism: Vigna angularis (adzuki bean)
Lineage: Eukaryota; Viridiplantae; Streptophyta; Magnoliopsida; Fabales; Fabaceae
Gene name: RNA pseudouridine synthase 2, chloroplastic
Exons: 8
Source: RefSeq, a predicted model, not a curated record